Molecule: ribosomal RNA, 253 nt
Filed under: uncultured bacterium
Lineage: Bacteria
Description: partial 16S ribosomal RNA
Rfam family: Bacterial small subunit ribosomal RNA
Source: RNAcentral
UACGUAGGGUGCGAGCGUUGUCCGGAAUUAUUGGGCGUAAAGAGCUUGUAGGCGGUUUGUCGCGUCUGCUGUGAAAAUCCGGGGCUCAACUCCGGAUCUGCGGUGGGUACGGGCAGACUAGAGUGAUGUAGGGGAGACUGGAAUUCCUGGUGUAGCGGUGAAAUGCGCAGAUAUCAGGAGGAACACCGAUGGCGAAGGCAGGUCUCUGGGCAUUAACUGACGCUGAGGAGCGAAAGCAUGGGGAGCGAACAGG